GAUGAACGCUGGCGGCGUGCUUAACACAUGCAAGUCGAGCGAAGCAACUUUGAAACUUCGGUUUCAAAGUUGACUUAGUGGCGGACGGGUGAGUAACGCGUAGGUAACCUACCUUAUACAGGGGGAUAACAGCUGGAAACGGCUGCUAAUACCGCAUAACACAGAGUGUUCGCAUGAAUGUUCUGCCAAAGAUUUAUCGGUAUAAGAUGGACCUGCGUCUGAUUAGCUAGUUGGUGAGGUAAUGGCUCACCAAGGCGACGAUCAGUAGCCGACGUGAGAGAGUGAUCGGCCACAUUGGGACUGAGACACGGCCCAAACUCCUACGGGAGGCAGCAGUGGGGAAUAUUGCACAAUGGGGGAAACCCUGAUGCAGCGACGCCGCGUGAGUGAAGAAGUAUUUCGGUAUGUAAAGCUCUAUCAGCAGGGACGAAUAAAAUGACGGUACCUGACUAAGAAGCCCCGGCUAACUACGUGCCAGCCGCCGCCGUAA
RNAcentral lists this ribosomal RNA (490 nucleotides) under uncultured bacterium. Its description in RNAcentral is "partial 16S ribosomal RNA". It matches the Rfam family "Bacterial small subunit ribosomal RNA", at positions 28 to 523 of the family's 1533-position model. The record is from RNAcentral.